GAGGAGUCAGUUGGUGGGUUUUGAGUAAAAUCCAAUCUCUAGAAUUGUACAAUACACCAACCACCCCAUUUGUGAACGAACUUCGUACGAACCGGAAUUUUCCGAUUUCAAGGACCAAUCGACAUCGGAUUGAGUCCAAAACUUGGUGAACAUCAUAAUAUUGUGGGAGGAGUCAUUUGGUGGGUUUUGAGCGAAAUCCAAUCUCUAGAACUACACAAUACACCAAC
Molecule: long non-coding RNA, 227 nt
Filed under: Prunus persica (peach)
Lineage: Eukaryota; Viridiplantae; Streptophyta; Magnoliopsida; Rosales; Rosaceae
Description: long non-coding RNA (PPER_LNC008646)
Source: RNAcentral